AGGCCCCACGGCGCACCAGGAGCAGCAGUGGGGCCCGGAGGCGGCGGAG
RNAcentral lists this microRNA precursor (49 nucleotides) under Monodelphis domestica (gray short-tailed opossum). Its description in RNAcentral is "miRNA (ENSMODG00000043581.1)". The record is from RNAcentral. Lineage: Eukaryota; Metazoa; Chordata; Mammalia; Didelphimorphia; Didelphidae.